Molecule: ribosomal RNA, 334 nt
Filed under: uncultured eukaryote
Lineage: Eukaryota
Description: partial 18S ribosomal RNA
Rfam family: Eukaryotic small subunit ribosomal RNA
Source: RNAcentral
CCCUUGGAUGUCCGGGGCCGCACGCGCGCUACACUGAAGGAAUCAGCGUGGCUUUCUCCCUGACCCGAAAGGGUUGGGAAACCCGUUGAAUCUCCUUCGUGAUAGGGAUUGGGGCUUGAAAUUGUUCCCCAUGAACGAGGAAUUCCCAGUAAGCGCGAGUCAUAAGCUCGCGUUGAUUACGUCCCUGCCCUUUGUACACACCGCCCGUCGCUACUACCGAUUGAACGGUUUAGUGAGGGCCUCGGAUUGGUCUCGGCCCGCUCUUUACCGGGCGGCGCCGUUGGUCGAGAAGACGCUCGAACUUGAUCGUUUAGAGGAAGUAAAAGUCGUAACA